This 306-nucleotide ribosomal RNA is filed under the name uncultured Planctomycetota bacterium. Its description in RNAcentral is "bacterial SSU rRNA". It matches the Rfam family "Bacterial small subunit ribosomal RNA", at positions 29 to 351 of the family's 1533-position model. Lineage: Bacteria; Pseudomonadati; Planctomycetota. The record is from RNAcentral.
AAUGAACGUUGGCGGCGUGGAUUAGGCAUGCAAGUCGAGCGAGAACCGUAGCAAUACGGGGACAGCGGCGAAAGGGAGAGGAACACGUGGAUACGUACCCUCGGGUUCAGGAUAGCCAUGGGAAACUAUGGGUAAUACUGAAUAACAUCUCCGGAUCAAAGGUGUGAUUCCGCCCGGGGAGCGGUCCGCGUCCUAUUAGCUUGUUGGUGAGGUAACGGCUCACCAAGGCAAAGAUGGGUAUGGGGUGUGAGAGCAUGCCCCCACUCACUGGGACUGAGACACUGCCCAGACACCUACGGGAGGCUG